AUGGCGUCGGAGGGCGGAACCAAUGCGGCAGCGACGGCGGCGUCGGCGACGUCGGAGGGGAAGAAUCGGAGUCGGAAGGGGAAGCCUUGGGACGAGGAUGACCCCGGCAGCAGCAACCUCUUGAAGGCGGAGAAGUUCGAGCCCGCCUCGAACGAGGGCGCCCUGCUCGAAACCACCUCCUUCUCCACCACCUUCGCCAAAGACAGAGAGGAGUCUCUGCUGGAGGCGUGGCCGGUCGUCAAGGGCGCGCUGAAGGAGCAUGGGGUCUCGUGCAAGCUCAGUGUGAGUGAGGGAUCCAUGACUGUCUCGACCACCAGGAAGACCAGGGACCCCUACAUUGUUGUCAAGGCCAGGGACCUGACCAGACUCCUGUCGCGGAGUGUCCCUGUACAUCAGGCGAUUAAAAUACUCAACGAUGAUAUGACCUGCGAUAUUAUUAAGAUUGGUGACCUCGUACGGAAUAGGAAAAGGUUUUCUGAACGGAGAGACCGUCUGUUAGGACCUAAUAUGUCUACCCUUAAGGCCCUAGAGAAUUUGACUGGCUGCUACAUCUUAGUUCAGGGAAAUACUGUUGCUGCCAUGGGUUCCCUUGACGGAAGGGGACUAAAACAACUCAGAAAGAUCGCAGAGGAUUGUAUGAAUAACAUAAAGGGUCCACUGGAUCACAUUCAGGAACUCAAAAAAGAACGUGAGCCAGCUAAAACACCUGCCCUGGCUAAUGAAAGCUGGGGCAGGAUUCUACCAAAGUAUGAGAAGGAGAAUAUCAAACUGAAGAAGCCAUACACACCCUUUCCAUCUCCGCAGCAGCCUAGCAAGACUGAUCUUGAACUUGAGAAUGGCAAGUAUUCUCUGAGUGACAAAAAGAAGUCGACAAAGAAACUUCAAGAGAAGCCCGACAAGCAAUCAAAGAAAGUGGAUGGAAACAAAAGAAAGAGAGAAGCUGCAUCUAUUCCCCCAAAGGAGAGCAUUGCAGGUUCAUCUGAAUCUGCCAUGGCCACCAGUGGCGAUAGCAAGGUUGCUGAUAUGGUGGCCAUGCCCUCAAAGAAGAAGGCAAAGAAGGAAUAA
This 1065-nucleotide ribosomal RNA is filed under the name Triticum aestivum (bread wheat). RNAcentral's name for it is "partial small subunit ribosomal RNA". The record is from RNAcentral. Lineage: Eukaryota; Viridiplantae; Streptophyta; Magnoliopsida; Poales; Poaceae.